GCACGGUGAUGGACUGAUGACAGCCCUUCUCUGUGGGCCUUUCAUAGUGUGCCAGUGCCAGAGAUGCAUGCAAACCAUUGCCCAGCCUUCUCACCAGUGCUGUGAGCACUGAAGGGAGCUGUACAGUG
Molecule: small nucleolar RNA, 128 nt
Filed under: Panthera pardus (leopard)
Lineage: Eukaryota; Metazoa; Chordata; Mammalia; Carnivora; Felidae
Description: Small nucleolar RNA SNORA42/SNORA80 family (ENSPPRG00000018292.1)
Source: RNAcentral